GUCGUAUCGGUUCGAUAGGGAUACUCAUCAAAUAAUCGGAACUCGGAGACCGUUUCUCUUGCCUAUGGCGGGCCACAGGGAUGCAAGUCCCAGCUGAACAGCCGGUGGAUUACAAAAGCGGAGAGCACUCUAAAUACUAAACUCGGAGUUUUCAUCACAUCACUGGUGCGGCCCUUU
Molecule: small RNA, 177 nt
Filed under: uncultured Prevotella sp.
Lineage: Bacteria; Pseudomonadati; Bacteroidota; Bacteroidia; Bacteroidales; Prevotellaceae
Description: Bacteroidales-1 6S-Bacteroidales RNA suggested
Rfam family: Bacteroidales-1 6S-Bacteroidales RNA suggested
Source: RNAcentral